This 429-nucleotide ribosomal RNA is filed under the name Chloroflexota bacterium. RNAcentral's name for it is "Chloroflexi bacterium partial 16S ribosomal RNA". It matches the Rfam family "Bacterial small subunit ribosomal RNA", at positions 355 to 776 of the family's 1533-position model. Lineage: Bacteria; Bacillati; Chloroflexota. The record is from RNAcentral.
UGGGGAAUAUUGCACAAUGGGCGCAAGCCUGAUGCAGCCAUGCCGCGUGUAUGAAGAAGGCCUUCGGGUUGUAAAGUACUUUCAGUCGGGAGGAAGGUGUCAAGGUUAAUAACCUUGGCAAUUGACGUUACCCGCAGAAGAAGCACCGGCUAACUCCGUGCCAGCAGCCGCGGUAAUACGGAGGGUGCAAGCGUUAAUCGGAAUUACUGGGCGUAAAGCGCACGCAGGCGGUCUGUCAAGUCGGAUGUGAAAUCCCCGGGCUCAACCUGGGAACUGCAUUCGAAACUGGCAGGCUAGAGUCUUGUAGAGGGGGGUAGAAUUCCAGGUGUAGCGGUGAAAUGCGUAGAGAUCUGGAGGAAUACCGGUGGCGAAGGCGGCCCCCUGGACGAAGACUGACGCUCAGGUGCGAAAGCGUGGGGAGCAAACAGG